Molecule: ribosomal RNA, 510 nt
Filed under: uncultured bacterium
Lineage: Bacteria
Description: bacterial SSU rRNA
Rfam family: Bacterial small subunit ribosomal RNA
Source: RNAcentral
AGCAGUUAAGUUGAUUUCUUCGGAUUGAUUCUUGGCUGACUGAGCGGCGGACGGGUGAGUAACGCGUGGGUGACCUGCCCCAUACCGGGGGAUAACAGCUGGAAACGGCUGCUAAUACCGCAUAAGCGCACAGAGCUGCAUGGCUCAGUGUGAAAAACUCCGGUGGUAUGGGAUGGGCCCGCGUCUGAUUAGGCAGUUGGCGGGGUAACGGCCCACCAAACCGACGAUCAGUAGCCGGCCUGAGAGGGCGACCGGCCACAUUGGGACUGAGACACGGCCCAAACUCCUACGGGAGGCAGCAGUGGGGAAUAUUGCACAAUGGGGGAAACCCUGAUGCAGCGACGCCGCGUGAGCGAAGAAGUAUUUCGGUAUGUAAAGCUCUAUCAGCAGGGAAGAUAAUGACGGUACCUGACUAAGAAGCCCCGGCUAACUACGUGCCAGCAGCCGCGGUAAUACGUAGGGGGCAAGCGUUAUCCGGAUUUACUGGGUGUAAAGGGAGCGUAGACGGCA